UGAGGAAUAUUGGUCAAUGGGCGCAAGCCUGAACCAGCCAUCCCGCGUGCAGGAAGACGGCCCUAUGGGUUGUAAACUGCUUUUUCGGGGGGGGAGAAUUUUUCCGUCGUGACGGGAAUUGACGGUACCCCGGGAAUAAGCAUCGGCUAACUCCGCGCCAGCAGCCGCGGUAAUACGGAGGAUGCGAGCGUUAUCCGGAUUUAUUGGGUUUAAAGGGUGCGUAGGCGGAAUGAUAAGUCAGUGGUGAAAACCUGCAGCUUAACUUUAGACUUGCCGUUGAUAAUGUCAGUCUCGAGUGUGGUCAAGGGAGGCGGAAUGUGUAAUGUAGCGGUGAAAUGCUUAGAUAUUACACGGAACACCGAUUGCGAAGACAGCUUACUGGGCCAUUACUGACGCUGAUG
RNAcentral lists this ribosomal RNA (401 nucleotides) under uncultured bacterium. RNAcentral describes it as "bacterial SSU rRNA". It matches the Rfam family "Bacterial small subunit ribosomal RNA", at positions 355 to 751 of the family's 1533-position model. The record is from RNAcentral.